Acanthopagrus latus (yellowfin seabream) is the source of this 810-nucleotide non-coding RNA. NCBI's taxonomy places the organism in Eukaryota, Metazoa, Chordata, Actinopteri, Spariformes, Sparidae. The record is from the annotation of a RefSeq genome assembly.
GGAGCACAGGAACACAGGAGGGAAACAAAGUGCAGACAGACCACAAACAUCCAGAAAACACAAUAAAAGCAGACAGAAAUGUCAGAACCACGACAGCUUUAGAGGAGUUGAUGGUCACAUUUACUUGUUUAUAGAGACAUGCCAGCUGUUUCCACAUGUUAUCAGUCUCAGCUAAACUAAAGCUCAAUUAAGAUAACCUUCCUCUUACACUAUCAGUUUACUGACUGAGGACAGGACUCAGGCUUUCUCUUGUUUUAUUUAGAGAAUGAUGAUAUUUUUCUGAUGCAUCUUGACCUGGAGAUAAAAUUCAGUCAGUUCACAGUGAGAUGGAUAUUAAAGUGUCACAUGAUCCUCAAGAUGAUGAGCUGUCACUCCACCUCACCUCCUCUGUUUCUGUUUCACAUCAACAGAGAGUCUGAGCUGUUUCCAGUCACUCACACAGAAAACUGCAUCAGGAUGAUGUCGCCAAUAACUCUGAUUGUCAUGUUGGGUUUUCUGAGUCAGGAGUGUUCUGCAAACGAUUUCCUGACUCAGGCUGACAAAUCCAAGUCUGUUAGUCUUGGAGGAACUGUGACCAUCAGAGCCACAGGGAGCUCAAAUAUUGGUAGCACUCUCAGUUGGUACCUUCAGAAACCUGGUCAGGCUCCCAAACUCCUGAUAUACUCUUCAUCAACUCGCUUCUCUGGAACUCCGUCUCGAUUCAGUGGCAGUAGAUCUGGUUCUAGCUACACUCUGACCAUCAGUGGGGUUCAGGCUGAAGAUGCAGGAGAUUACUACUGUAUGGGUGUUGGUUCAACGUUCACACAGUGA